CUAGGAUGUUGGCUUGGAAGCAGCCAUUCAUUUAAAGAGUGCGUAACAGCUCACUAGUCUAGGAGUUUGGCGUGGAUAAUAAUCGGGCAUUAAGCAAUUUACCGAAGCUAUGGGAUCAGUAAUGAUCGGUAGGGGAGCAUUCCACUCAGCGUCGAAGGUGAAGCGUGAGCUUUGCUGGAGCGUGUGGAAAAGCAAAUGUAGGUAUAAGUAACGAUAAAGGGGGUGAGAAACCCCCUCGCCGAAAGACUAAGGUUUCCUGAUCAACGCUAAUCGGAUCAGGGUUAGUCGGGUCCUAAGGCUCAGCCGAACGGUGAGGCCGAUGGCAGAACAGGUUAAUAUUCCUGUACUACCUUAAAGAGUGACGUGG
RNAcentral lists this ribosomal RNA (367 nucleotides) under Shigella flexneri 2a. Its description in RNAcentral is "partial 23S ribosomal RNA". It matches the Rfam family "Bacterial large subunit ribosomal RNA", at positions 1093 to 1469 of the family's 2925-position model. Lineage: Bacteria; Pseudomonadati; Pseudomonadota; Gammaproteobacteria; Enterobacterales; Enterobacteriaceae. The record is from RNAcentral.